GGUGAGUCUGCUCACCCUUCUGGCAGGCGAGUAGCAAAGCCAACUCAGCAUGUAGAUUCCAGGUGGAGAGGGAUCCUAUAGCCAACAGUGGAUGAAUAAAACCAGGGAGAUAAAAGUGUAUGUGUCAAGUCUCCCAGGGGCCUUACUGGAGUUAAAUUAGCUGGGGAAAAAAUAUGUUAGACUUCACAUACAAGCCUCCACUUCUGGAGUCCCUUAUUACUUUUUGUUGGUAUAUGGGAAGGGCUGGUAUGGGUUUGGGAUAGAAGGAGCUGCAUCUGUUUUGUGGGGGACCUUGGCAGCUUCUGUUGUCUAAAGUGGUUGUGCAUAGUUCAGUCUUCUUUCCAACUUCUAAAAAGCAAUAGUUGCAAAACAGAGCCCUGGAACUGUUUUGCAGCAACCAAAUAAUCUCAUGGUGGAGUUACUGCCUUUUCAUCAUCCUGUGCUCUUUCCCCAUAUUUACAGGGUGUGCUUGUAGAUGAGAGACGAGCCGUAGAUGUCUGAGAAAAAAGCCUGCUUUAAUUACAGGCAAGAAUUCUAAUUUGUCGUGGGCAGUAGCAUCAUGAGCACCACUCUUGCAUCUAAAUUAAUACUUGUUUCACAGCUAUGACAAGUGCAAAGGUUGCAAGCAUAGCAGGAGGACCCUUUUUGUUCUCAUCCUCCCAGAUGUGGGUUCAUGUACAUUAGCUACACCGUGUUUGUUACAGAAAGUAAUUCCUUCUCAAAGUGAACCUUCUACUGUAAACCAUACAUAAGGUGCCUGGACCCAACUUUUAGGAGUUUCUGUAAAGUCUAAACAGUAGGUGGCACUGCUGUUUGUCUGGUCUUUACAGUUCAGUAUUGCCAACAAUAUUGAGUGGCAUUUGACUUUUCCAGUUCCCGUUUCUAUAGUACUCUUGAUCUGGGCAGGAGUCAAGCAGAAGUCUGACUCGCAAAUCUUUUCUUAAUAAAAAUAACAAAAGGAUAAGUUCAAUGUUGCCAAGAGUUUAAUUUGUUGAAAAAAAAAAUAAAAAAAUGAAUUCCCCCCCCCAGGAAAUUAUUUAAGAUCUGCAAAUAUAAAGCAGAUCUUUGUUAAUGUUGCCAAUUGUCUCUAAGAAUUUCUUCAUAAUCUUAUGACCUGUUGAAAAAAACAUAGGAGUGUUUAAUAAAAUUAGGAGCAGUCACAACAGGGGUGGUAUUUUUGCUUUUUUGUUCUUUUUCUAUUCUGUUUCUGCUUGAUUUUAUUAUAGCCAAAAGCCUAAGUGACAAUGAAGAUUUUUGUCAGGUUCUUGGUACUUUAAUCUCCCCCAAGUAAAGGGAGUGUGGGGGUGGUGUUUGCAUCACAGAUAUAUGCAUGUUGUUUGAUAUUAAGAGUUAUCUUUCAUAAAUGUCCAUAUAGUUCAUAAAUCGAUUUUUUGUUUAUAAGUUUUCAUAUAGCUGACAGUUUUAUGUUUUCCUUCUCGGUUUUUGACAUCUUGGGCAGGACUCAUCAAAAGAAUGCAAGCAUGGGCUACAGUCUAGACAUGGGUAUUUGAGCUAGUCAUUCUAAACUGCUUCACUGGUCAGUGAAGAGAAAUAGACAUUUUUAGAAAGGAACUCAUUUCAACCCAGAGUAGACUUUUAAAAUAUAUUAGAUGAAUCAUUCUCUAAAACUGCUUAUUUUUCUUUAUGGACAUUGAGGAAGGUCUAAGAAAACUUCCUCAGAGGGGUAUGGUUGAAGUUUGGCAGAAUGAACCUCUGUCCUGGCAGUGGUGUAGGCUCACUUGGCUGCCAAAUGCUGACUCUGACAUUGCUUGAAAUUCUGAAGUAACACACCUCAAGAGCACAUGAUCUCAUGUACUAUCUACAGAUACUGUUAACUGUGUCAUCACUAACAUUUAACUUAAACGUCUCCUUUUCUGACUGAGACAGUAUUAGACUGUGAGAAGAAAGUUAUUUGUUGAUUUGCUAUGACAAGGCAUUCUUUUUCUAAAAAUAGCUAGUUCACAAGGAAUUAUGGAAA
Pezoporus occidentalis (night parrot) is the source of this 1978-nucleotide long non-coding RNA. RefSeq lists it as uncharacterized. The record is from RefSeq and is a predicted model, not a curated record. The transcript is spliced from 3 exons. Lineage: Eukaryota; Metazoa; Chordata; Aves; Psittaciformes; Psittacidae.